AUUGAACGCUGGCGGCAGGCCUAACACAUGCAAGUCGAGCGGAUGAAGGGAGCUUGCUCCUGGAUUCAGCGGCGGACGGGUGAGUAAUGCCUAGGAAUCUGCCUGGUAGUGGGGGAUAACGUCCGGAAACGGGCGCUAAUACCGCAUACGUCCUGAGGGAGAAAGUGGGGGAUCUUCGGACCUCACGCUAUCAGAUGAGCCUAGGUCGGAUUAGCUAGUUGGUGGGGUAAAGGCCUACCAAGGCGACGAUCCGUAACUGGUCUGAGAGGAUGAUCAGUCACACUAGAACUGAGACACGGUCCAGACUCCUACGGGAGGCAGCAGUGGGGAAUAUUGGACAAUGGGCGAAAGCCUGAUCCAGCCAUGCCGCGUGUGUGAAGAAGGUCUUCGGAUUGUAAAGCACUUUAAGUCGGGAGGAAGGGCAGUAAGUUAAUACCUUGCUGUUUUGACGUUACCAACAGAAUAAGCACCGGCUAACUUCGUG
RNAcentral lists this ribosomal RNA (484 nucleotides) under uncultured bacterium. RNAcentral's name for it is "partial 16S ribosomal RNA". It matches the Rfam family "Bacterial small subunit ribosomal RNA", at positions 30 to 507 of the family's 1533-position model. The record is from RNAcentral.